RNAcentral lists this ribosomal RNA (330 nucleotides) under uncultured eukaryote. RNAcentral's name for it is "partial 18S ribosomal RNA". It matches the Rfam family "Eukaryotic small subunit ribosomal RNA", at positions 1470 to 1796 of the family's 1831-position model. The record is from RNAcentral.
CCCUUAGAUGUUCUGGGCCGCACGCGCGCUACACUGAUGAAUUCAACGAGCUCCUAACCUAGGCCGAAGGGUCCGGGUAAUCUUUGAAAUUUCAUCGUGAUGGGGAUAGAUUAUUGCAAUUAUUAAUCUUCAACGAGGAAUUCCUAGUAAGCGCGAGUCAUCAGCUCGCGUUGAUUACGUCCCUGCCCUCUGUACACACCGCCCGUCGCUCCUACCGAUUGAAUGGUCCGGUGAAAUGUUCGGAUCGCGGCAAAUCGGACGGGUAACCGUCAGGUUCGCUGCGAGAAGUUCAUUAAACCUUAUCAUUUAGAGGAAGGAGAAGUCGUANCA